GAGUUUGAUCCUGGCUCACAUUGAACGCUGGCGGCAGGCCUAACACAUGCAAGUCGAACGGUAACAGGGAGAAAGCUUGCUUUCUUUGCUGACGAGUGGCGGACGGGUGAGUAAUGCUUGGGAAUCUGGCCUAUGGAGGGGGAUAACUACGGGAAACUGUAGCUAAUACCGCGUAGAAUCGGGAGAUGAAAGUGUGGGACCGCAAGGCCACAUGCCAUGGGAUGAGCCCAAGUGGGAUUAGGUAGUUGGUAAGGUAAAGGCUUACCAAGCCGACGAUCUCUAGCUGGUCUGAGAGGAUGACCAGCCACACUGGAACUGAGACACGGUCCAGACUCCUACGGGAGGCAGCAGUGGGGAAUAUUGCACAAUGGGGGGAACCCUGAUGCAGCCAUGCCGCGUGAAUGAAGAAGGCCUUCGGGUUGUAAAGUUCUUUCGGUGAUGAGGAAGGCAGUUACUUUAAUAGAGUAGUUGAUUGACGUUAGUCACAGAAGAAGCACCGGCUAACUCCGUGCCAGCAGCCGCGGUAAUACGGAGGGUGCGAGCGUUAAUCGGAAUAACUGGGCGUAAAGGGCACGCAGGCGGUGACUUAAGUGAGAUGUGAAAGCCCCGGGCUUAACCUGGGAAUUGCAUUUCAUACUGGGUCGCUAGAGUACUUUAGGGAGGGGUAG
Molecule: ribosomal RNA, 668 nt
Filed under: uncultured bacterium
Lineage: Bacteria
Description: bacterial SSU rRNA
Rfam family: Bacterial small subunit ribosomal RNA
Source: RNAcentral